Long non-coding RNA from Artibeus jamaicensis (Jamaican fruit-eating bat), 994 nucleotides. RefSeq lists it as uncharacterized. The transcript has 4 exons. NCBI's taxonomy places the organism in Eukaryota, Metazoa, Chordata, Mammalia, Chiroptera, Phyllostomidae. The record is from RefSeq and is a predicted model, not a curated record.
CAGGAGCAGGGUUGCUGGGAGCUCCGGACUAGGAAGAACGGCCUCUGAGACCCUCGCCCCGGCUCCCGUUAGCACGGCAUCCCUUCGAUGGCAGUGCUUCUCGCCGUGUGGAUGUUUUCCCGCCAUGGCCUCCUCCUAUGGAGUUUCGAUACCACAAUAUACCGUGACAGCCUGGGCACCACUGAGCCAAAGGAGAACAAACUGUCGAUGCACACGACAACUUGUCUGGCCCUCCAGAGAGGUGGCUGUGUGAAAAGAAGGCCAGUGCCAAAAGGCUAUGUGCUGCGGAUUGUGCUUAUACCAUGCUUCUGAGGCAGUAGGAGGGCCCCCUGUCUCAGGGUCACAGUCAGUCAAAUCAACCCAAAAGGCAGGUGAGCGAGCCGCCUCGUACACCAGGGACGGCAGUUUCCUUAGAAGGCUGAUGAGAUGCCGCAGGAGCCUGACCCUUGUUGACACCGAUGAGCCUGUGGCACAGUCGGUUCUGCUGUAAGUCGCUGCGCUCAAAGUCGCAGAACUUACUGCCCACGUUAUGUGAGGACGUACUAGGCACUGCCUUGCACACCAGCUCAGCCGGAGGGCAGGUGAGCCGAGGCUCUGUCUGCUGCGGGCAGGGCUUUGCUGCCCUCCAUCCAGAAACGCUUCCUCUGGGGCACGUAGAUCAGCUGGACCAACAGCCCCCCAAAACCAUUUGUUGGAAAACUGCAUGUAACCCAUCUGUUCUCUUACUUGGCUGGGGUGGAAGAACACCACAGCCCAGAGUGGCUGCAGCCCCUGCUCACUUGAGCAGCUAAGUCGGGGAGUGGUGGUUCCCCCAGGAGGGCCCCCCACUCAGGGCUGGUUCAGUUGACCCAGCCCAUCCUUCAGGCCUUAAAACAGGCCCUGUUCUUUGGAUCCGGGUGGGCUGAGGCUGGGCGGCUGCCUGGACCCCCCGGUGGGCCCGCCUGCCCUGAUGUGGCCAGGCCCAGUGGGGGGCUUCUUCAGCAUCACGGGAGUG